AGUGAACGCUGGCGGUAGGCCUAACACAUGCAAGUCGAACGGCAGCACAGUAAGAGCUUGCUCUUACGGGUGGCGAGUGGCGGACGGGUGAGGAAUACAUCGGAAUCUACUUUUUCGUGGGGGAUAACGUAGGGAAACUUACGCUAAUACCGCAUACGACCUACGGGUGAAAGCAGGGGAUCUUCGGACCUUGCGCGAUUGAAUGAGCCGAUGUCGGAUUAGCUAGUUGGCGGGGUAAAGGCCCACCAAGGCGACGAUCCGUAGCUGGUCUGAGAGGAUGAUCAGCCACACUGGAACUGAGACACGGUCCAGACUCCUACGGGAGGCAGCAGUGGGGAACAUUGGACAAUGGGCGCAAGCCUGAUCCAGCCAUACCGCGUGGGUGAAGAAGGCCUUCGGGUUGUAAAGCCCUUUUGUUGGGAAAGAAAAGCAGCAGGUUAAUACCCCGCUGUUCUGACGGUACCCAAAGAAUAAGUACCGGCUAACUUCGUG
Molecule: ribosomal RNA, 492 nt
Filed under: uncultured bacterium
Lineage: Bacteria
Description: partial 16S ribosomal RNA
Rfam family: Bacterial small subunit ribosomal RNA
Source: RNAcentral